AGAGUUUGAUCCUGGCUCAGGACGAACGCUAGCGGCGUGCCUAAGGUAUGCAAGUCGAACGGGAGGGGCAACCCUCCAGUGGCGAACGGUCGCGUAACACGUAGACAACCUGCCUCCAAGUGGGGGAUAACAGGGGGAAACCUCUGCUAAUACCGCAUGUGGCCCUCUUUCGCCUGGAAGGGAAGCUAAAGGUUUACUGCUUGGAGAUGGGUCUGCGGCCUAUCAGGUAGUUGGUGGGGUAACGGCCUACCAAGCCGACGACGGGUAGCGGGUCUGAGAGGAUGAUCCGCCGGACGGGGACUGAGACACGGCCCCGACUCCUUCGGGAGGCAGCAAUGGGGAAUAUUGCGCAAUGGGGGAAACCCUGACGCAGCGACGCCGCGUGGGUGAGGAAGUCCUUCGGGAUGUAAAGCCCUUUUCUCGGGGACGAAACGGACGGUACCCGAGGAAGAAGCCCCGGCUAACUACGUGCCAGCAGCCGCGGUAAUACGUAGGGGGCAAGCGUUGUCCGGAUUUACUGGGCGUAAAGCGCGCGUAGGCGGAAGCUUAAGCAUGCCCUGAAAGCCCCCGGCUCAACCGGGGAGGGCGGGUGUGAACUGGGCUUCUUGAGGGGGAGAGAGGAGUGUGGAAUCCCUGGUGUAGCGGUGAAAUGCGUAGAGAUCAGGAGGAACACCCGUGGCGAAGGCGGCACUCUGGCUCGGCCCUGACGCUGAGGCGCGAAAGCGUGGGGAGCGAACGGGAUUAGAUACCCCCGUAGUCC
RNAcentral lists this ribosomal RNA (760 nucleotides) under uncultured soil bacterium. RNAcentral's name for it is "bacterial SSU rRNA". It matches the Rfam family "Bacterial small subunit ribosomal RNA", at positions 8 to 796 of the family's 1533-position model. The record is from RNAcentral.